UACGUAGGGUGCAAGCGUUGUCCGGAAUUAUUGGGCGUAAAGAGCUCGUAGGCGGUUUGUUGCGUCGGCUGUGAAAUCCCGAGGCUCAACCUCGGGUCUGCAGUCGAUACGAGCAAACUAGAGUGUUGCAGGGGAGACUGGAAUUCCUGGUGUAGCGGUGAAAUGCGCAGAUAUCAGGAGGAACACCGAUGGCGAAGGCAGGUCUCUGGGCCGAUACUGACGCUGAGGAGCGAAAGCGUGGGGAGCAAACAGG
RNAcentral lists this ribosomal RNA (253 nucleotides) under uncultured bacterium. RNAcentral describes it as "partial 16S ribosomal RNA". It matches the Rfam family "Bacterial small subunit ribosomal RNA", at positions 524 to 776 of the family's 1533-position model. The record is from RNAcentral.